UUCCGGUUGAUCCCGCCGGACCCCACUGCUAUCGAGAUGGGACUAAGGUAUGCUAGUCGAACGACCAGAACUAUGUCUGGGAGUGGCACACUGCUCAGUAACACGUAGCUAACCUACCCUUAGGACGUGGAUACCCCCGAGAAAUUGGGGUUAAUCCGCGAUAGAUGUAAUGUCCUGGAAUGGUAUUACGUCUAAAGGUAUUUCAUACAUGUUUGAAAUAUGCCUAAGGAUGGGGCUGCGGCCGAUCAGGCUGUUGGUGAGGUAAUGGCUCACCAAACCUUUGACCGGUACGGGCCAUGAGAGUGGUAGCCCGGAGAUGGACACUGAGACAAGGGUCCAGGCCCUAAGGGGCGCAGCAACCGCGAAACCUCCACAAUGCACUCACGUGUGAUGGGGCUAUCUCGAGUGCCACCUGAUGAAGGUGGCUUUUCCUUGGUCUUCAAAGCCUUGGGAAUAAGAGGGGGGCAAGACUGGUGUCAGCCGCCGCGGUAACACCAGCCCCUCGAGUGGUGGGGAUGAUUAUUUGGCCUAAAGCGUCCGUAGCCGGCCGUGAAAGUCUUCCGUUAAAUCCAGCGUCUCAAGCGUUGGACCGCGGGAGAUACUACAUGGCUAGAGAGUGGGAGAGGUCAGCGGUAUUCUGGGGGUAGGGGCGAAAUCCUUUGAUCCCCGGAGGACCACCAGUGGCGAAGGCUGCUGACUAGAACACGUCUGACGGUCAGGGACGAAAGCUGGGGUAGCGAACCGGAUUAGAUACCCGGGUAGUCCCAGCCGUAAACGAUGCAUGCUAGGUGUUGGGUUG
RNAcentral lists this ribosomal RNA (799 nucleotides) under uncultured archaeon. RNAcentral's name for it is "bacterial SSU rRNA". It matches the Rfam family "Archaeal small subunit ribosomal RNA", at positions 1 to 781 of the family's 1478-position model. The record is from RNAcentral.